Molecule: transfer-messenger RNA, 374 nt
Filed under: Bacteroidia bacterium
Lineage: Bacteria; Pseudomonadati; Bacteroidota; Bacteroidia
Rfam family: transfer-messenger RNA
About the family: Bacterial tmRNA, also known as 10Sa RNA or SsrA, is named for its dual tRNA and mRNA-like properties.
Source: RNAcentral
GGGGGUGUUCUGGCUUUUGACGGGUUGGCCAAUAGAUGUGUAAGCACGUAGAGCGUUGAAAGUGCGGCUCUUAAAUCUCGACUUUCAAACUAUAACAGGCGAUUAUAAUUUCGCUAUGGCUGCCUAACCUAAGAGGUUAAGCAAAUGCCAUCUGCUUGCCCGAGCUUGGUCUCGGUUGCGAGGGAGUUCAAGCAGUCGACAAACUGAGGUAAUUUUAGCCCAUUUCUACCAAGCUAGAAUUUAUUGUGUAGGAUAAGGAUUGAUUGGGUUUUUGCUACACCUGAUGAGUCUCGAAAACUAAGCAGCAAUAAACGUGUAGAAAACGCAACUCUAUUUCAAUUCGGACCCGGGUUCGACUCCCGGCAUCUCCACCA